Chelonoidis abingdonii (Abingdon island giant tortoise) is the source of this 166-nucleotide unclassified non-coding RNA. The record is from Ensembl. Lineage: Eukaryota; Metazoa; Chordata; Testudines; Testudinidae.
UUGGUCCUCUGAAGUUCUCUGCUUGUCCACAGAGCAGAUAUAGCAUGGGCAAUGACAGUGCAAGAUUCCCCAUAGUGUCUUUACAUUGGUCCCUCAACACGUAACUAGAGGUAUCAGUUCAAGAGGAUGAGAGAGUAGUUUGGUAAUUGCCACUUGUAGUGAUGGU